RNAcentral lists this ribosomal RNA (570 nucleotides) under Corynebacterium striatum. Its description in RNAcentral is "bacterial SSU rRNA". It matches the Rfam family "Bacterial small subunit ribosomal RNA", at positions 813 to 1384 of the family's 1533-position model. The record is from RNAcentral. Lineage: Bacteria; Bacillati; Actinomycetota; Actinomycetes; Mycobacteriales; Corynebacteriaceae.
GCGCUAGGUGUAGGGGGCUUCCACGUCUUCUGUGCCGUAGCUAACGCAUUAAGCGCCCCGCCUGGGGAGUACGGCCGCAAGGCUAAAACUCAAAGGAAUUGACGGGGGCCCGCACAAGCGGCGGAGCAUGUGGAUUAAUUCGAUGCAACGCGAAGAACCUUACCUGGGCUUGACAUAUACAAGACAGGCGUAGAGAUACGUCCUCCCUUGUGGUUUGUAUACAGGUGGUGCAUGGUUGUCGUCAGCUCGUGUCGUGAGAUGUUGGGUUAAGUCCCGCAACGAGCGCAACCCUUGUCUUAUGUUGCCAGCAUUUGGUUGGGGACUCAUGAGAGACUGCCGGGGUCAACUCGGAGGAAGGUGGGGAUGACGUCAAAUCAUCAUGCCCCUUAUGUCCAGGGCUUCACACAUGCUACAAUGGUCGGUACAACGCGCAGCGACACUGUGAGGUGGAGCGAAUCGCUGAAAGCCGGCCUUAGUUCGGAUUGGGGUCUGCAACUCGACCCCAUGAAGUCGGAGUCGCUAGUAAUCGCAGAUCAGCAACGCUGCGGUGAAUACGUUCCCGGGCCUUGU